Molecule: long non-coding RNA, 241 nt
Organism: Oxyura jamaicensis (ruddy duck)
Lineage: Eukaryota; Metazoa; Chordata; Aves; Anseriformes; Anatidae
Exons: 3
Source: RefSeq, a predicted model, not a curated record
UAGUGGCUUGAAGUUAAAGCCUCAAAUUCCAACAAAAAUGUCAGUUUUCAAGGUGUGAGUCACCACCUCUUUCAGAAAAGUGCUGCUCAGUACUCUGAUCUCCCUGUGGAUGGCUUGACAGCAGCGGUGGCUUACUCUGGUUUCAUGCAACUGUCCAUGCAACAGGACUUAGCAGCAGCGUGAAUGGCAUUAGGAACAGGGAGUGAGGCAUAGAUGCUUUAUCCUCUUCUGUAGAGCUCCU